This 492-nucleotide ribosomal RNA is filed under the name uncultured bacterium. Its description in RNAcentral is "partial 16S ribosomal RNA". It matches the Rfam family "Bacterial small subunit ribosomal RNA", at positions 28 to 507 of the family's 1533-position model. The record is from RNAcentral.
GAUGAACGCUAGCUACAGGCUUAACACAUGCAAGUCGAGGGGAAACGGCAUCGAAAGCUUGCUUUUGAUGGGCGUCGACCGGCGCACGGGUGAGUAACGCGUAUCCAACCUGCCCAUCACUUGGGAAUAACCUUGCGAAAGUAAGACUAAUGCCCAAUGACAUCCCACGAAGGCAUCCGAAUGGGAUUAAAGAUUUAUCGGUGAUGGAUGGGGAUGCGUCUGAUUAGCUUGUUGGCGGGGUGACGGCCCACCAAGGCAACGAUCAGUAGGGGUUCUGAGAGGAAGGUCCCCCACAUUGGAACUGAGACACGGUCCAAACUCCUACGGGAGGCAGCAGUGAGGAAUAUUGGUCAAUGGGCGAGAGCCUGAACCAGCCAAGUAGCGUGCAGGAUGACGGCCCUAUGGGUUGUAAACUGCUUUUAUAAGGGAAUAAAGUGGGUCACGUGUGACUUUUUGCAUGUACCUUAUGAAUAAGGACCGGCUAAUUCCUUG